GCAGUCAUGGCCUAAUGGUUAGAGAGUCAGAUUGUAAUCUGAAGGUGAACCUGAAGGCCGUGAGUUCGAGUCUCAGGUCCAGCG
Non-coding RNA from Pangasius djambal, 84 nucleotides. The record is from the annotation of a GenBank genome assembly. NCBI's taxonomy places the organism in Eukaryota, Metazoa, Chordata, Actinopteri, Siluriformes, Pangasiidae.